This 396-nucleotide unclassified non-coding RNA is filed under the name Hevea brasiliensis (rubber tree). Lineage: Eukaryota; Viridiplantae; Streptophyta; Magnoliopsida; Malpighiales; Euphorbiaceae. The record is from RNAcentral.
CUGCUCGAAAACAUGCCUCCUCCAGCUGCCAUGUUCAUGGACUUGAAUGGCAUAGGCACGAGCUCUUGAGGAAGGGAUUUGAGAGAGUUCUUGGGAUCAAAGCUGUUGAAAUCUGAUAUCCCAACAGAUGUGCUGUUGGCAUUGGUGCUGGUUAAGGGCAUCGAGGACAUGAUGUCAGGCAUUUGGGUCUGCAAGUUGGAUCCCAUGUUAGACAUUAGUCCUUGGUUAACUUUGUUGUUUUCUUCUGCUAAUGCGUCACAAAAAGCUCUGUGGGUGAUGAAGCUGUCUCUUCUGGAAAAGAUGGUUCCACAAUCACAUUUGUAUUCCCUUGUACCACAGGUCUUCUGAUGAGCCUUCCAAUCAGAUUGAACUGCAUAUUUCUUAGAGCACUUGUCG